CAUGCAUGUAUCAGUACACGCCUUAACAAGGUGAAACCGCGAACGGCUCAUUAUAACAGCUAUAAUUUACUUGACCUUGACCAGUUACUUGGAUAACUGUGGUAAUUCUAGAGCUAAUACAUGCACCGAAGUUGUUCCUCACGGAGCAAUGCAUUUAUUUGAGCAAAACCAGGCGGCUUCGGCCGUUUCUGUUGAAUCAGAAUAACUAAGCUGAUCGCAUGGGCUUGUCCCGGCGACGUGUCUUUCAAGUGUCUGCCUUAUCAACUUUCGAUGGUAGUGUACGUGACUACCAUGGUGUUGACGGGUAACGGAGGAUAAGGGUUCGACUCCGGAGAAGGGGCCUGAGAAAUGGCCACUACGUCUAAGGAUGGCAGCAGGCGCGCAAAUUACCCACUCUCGGUUCGAGGAGGUAGUGACGAAAAAUAACAAGGCCGUUCUCUUUGAGGCCGGCCAUUGGAAUGGGUACAACUUAAACCCUUUAACGAGUAUCAAUGAGAGGGCAAGUCUGGUGCCAGCAGCCGCGGUAAUUCCAGCUCUCAAAAUGCAUAGAACCAUUGCUGCGGUUAAAAAGCUCGUAGUUGGAUCUGUGCCGGCGACGUGGUCCGCCCUAACGGGAGGUACUGCGCUCGUCGGCUUUGGGCCGGUUUUCGGUCGGUCGCCUUAACUGGCGGCCGCUCGUGGCUGGCUGGUUUACUUUGAGCAAAUCAGAGUGCUCAGCACAGGCGUCUCGCCGGAAUGUUCGUGCAUGGAAUAAUAGAAAAGGAUUUCGGUCCUCUUUUAUUGGUUUUGUGGACUGAGAUAAUGGUUAACAGAGACGGACGGGGGCAUUCGUAUUGCUGCGUGAGAGGUGAAAUUCUUGGACCGCAGCAGGACGGACUACAGCGAAAGCAUU
This 892-nucleotide ribosomal RNA is filed under the name Paratylenchus elachistus. RNAcentral's name for it is "SSU rRNA". It matches the Rfam family "Eukaryotic small subunit ribosomal RNA", at positions 50 to 955 of the family's 1831-position model. Lineage: Eukaryota; Metazoa; Nematoda; Chromadorea; Rhabditida; Tylenchulidae. The record is from RNAcentral.